RNAcentral lists this ribosomal RNA (999 nucleotides) under uncultured bacterium. Its description in RNAcentral is "bacterial SSU rRNA". It matches the Rfam family "Bacterial small subunit ribosomal RNA", at positions 437 to 1453 of the family's 1533-position model. The record is from RNAcentral.
UAUCAAGGAAGAAAGAUCUGACGGUACUGAUGAAUAAGCCACGGCUAAUUCCGUGCCAGCAGCGCGGUAAUACGGGAGUGGCAAGCGUAUCCGGAAUUAUUGGGCGUAAAGCGUCCGCAGGCGGCCCUUCAAGUCUGCUGUUAAAAAGUGGAGCUUAACUCCAUCAUGGCAGUGGAAACUGUUGGGCUUGAGUGUGGUAGGGGCAGAGGGAAUUCCCGGUGUAGCGGUGAAAUGCGUAGAUAUCGGGAAGAACACCAGUGGCGAAGGCGCUCUGCUGGGCCAUCACUGACGCUCAUGGACGAAAGCCAGGGGAGCGAAAGGGAUUAGAUACCCCUGUAGUCCUGGCCGUAAACGAUGAACACUAGGUGUCGGGGGAAUCGACCCCCUCGGUGUCGUAGCCAACGCGUUAAGUGUUCCGCCUGGGGAGUACGCACGCAAGUGUGAAACUCAAAGGAAUUGACGGGGGCCCGCACAAGCGGUGGAGUAUGUGGUUUAAUUCGAUGCAACGCGAAGAACCUUACCAGGGUUUGACAUCCUGCGAAUCUCUUGGAAACAGGAGAGUGCCUUCGGGAACGCAGUGACAGGUGGUGCAUGGCUGUCGUCAGCUCGUGUCGUGAGAUGUUGGGUUAAGUCCCGCAACGAGCGCAACCCACGUCUUUAGUUGCCAGCAUUUAGUUGGGCACUCUAGAGAGACUGCCGGUGAUAAACCGGAGGAAGGUGUGGAUGACGUCAAGUCAUCAUGCCCCUUACAUCCUGGGCUACACACGUACUACAAUGCUACGGACAAAGGGCUGCAAGUUCGCGAGGACAAGCAAAUCCCAUAAACCGUGGCUCAGUUCAGAUCGUAGGCCGCAACUCGCCUACGUGAAGGCGGAAUCGCUAGUAAUCGCAGGUCAGCAUACUGCGGUGAAUACGUUCCCGGGCCUUGUACACACCGCCCGUCACACCAUGGAAGUUGGCCACGCCCGAAGCCGUUACUCCAACCCUUGUGGAGGAGGA